GUACCGAGCCUACGAUCUAUAGCUGGUCUGAUAGGAUGAUCAGCCACUCUGGGACUGAGACACGGCCCAGACUCCUACAGGAGGCAGCAAUGGGGAAUCUUGCACAAUGGGCGAAAGCCUGAUGCACCCAUGCCGCGUGAAUGAUGAAGGCCUUAGGGUUGUAAAAUUCUUUCGCUAGGGAUGAUAAUGACAGUACCUAGUAAAGAAGCCCCGGCUAACUUCGUGCCAGCAGCCGCGGUAAUACGAAGGGGGCUAGCGUUGUUCGGAAUUACUGGGCGUAAAGCGCACGUAGGCGGACUUUUAAGUCAGAUGUGAAAUCCCGGGGCUCAACCUCGGAACUGCAUUUGAAACUGGAAGUCUGGAGUUCAGGAGAGGUUAGCGGAAUACCGAGUGUAGAGGUGAAAUUCGUAGAUAUUCGGUGGAACACCAGUGGCGAAGGCGGCUAACUGGACUGAUACUGACGCUGAGGUGCGAAAGUGUGGGGAGCAAACAGGAUUAGAUACCCUGGUAGUCCACACCGUAAACGAUGAGAGCUAGUUGUUGGCAGGCAUGCCUGUCGGUGACG
This 565-nucleotide ribosomal RNA is filed under the name uncultured bacterium. RNAcentral's name for it is "bacterial SSU rRNA". It matches the Rfam family "Bacterial small subunit ribosomal RNA", at positions 265 to 848 of the family's 1533-position model. The record is from RNAcentral.